AUACGUAGGUGGCAAGCGUUGUCCGGAUUUACUGGGCGUAAAGGGAGCGUAGGUGGAUAUUUAAGUGGGAUGUGAAAUACCCGGGCUUAACCUGGGAGCUGCAUUCCAAACUGGAUAUCUAGAGUGCAGGAGAGGAAAGGAGAAUUCCUAGUGUAGCGGUGAAAUGCGUAGAGAUUAGGAAGAAUACCAGUGGCGAAGGCGCCUUUCUGGACUGUAACUGCCACUGAGGCUCGAAGGCGGGGGGAGCAAACAGGAUUAGAUGCCCUGGUAGUCCACGCCGUAAACGAUGAAUACUAGGUGUAGGGGUUGUCAUGACCUCUGUGCCGCCGCCAACGCAUUAAGUAUUCCGCCUGGGGAGUACGGUCGCAAGAUUAAAACUCAAAUGAAUUGGCGGGG
This 396-nucleotide ribosomal RNA is filed under the name uncultured bacterium. Its description in RNAcentral is "partial 16S ribosomal RNA". It matches the Rfam family "Bacterial small subunit ribosomal RNA", at positions 523 to 918 of the family's 1533-position model. The record is from RNAcentral.